Mytilus californianus (California mussel) is the source of this 1561-nucleotide long non-coding RNA. RefSeq lists it as uncharacterized. The record is from RefSeq and is a predicted model, not a curated record. Lineage: Eukaryota; Metazoa; Mollusca; Bivalvia; Mytilida; Mytilidae. The transcript is spliced from 4 exons.
AACAAUUAAAUGACCGACUUGCUUAUUAAUUGAAAUUCAAAUCAAGAUGGCAUAUAAAAAAACACAUUUAAACAACAUUUAAUUUGAAAGGAUCAUCAUAAUUACGAUAUUGUCGACAAUAAUUUAUAUAGUUUACAAAAAAUUCAGGGGCAAAUAUUUCCUACAUAUAUAAAGGACGAUAACCAAUCGAGAAUUAAAUUUAAGAAAGAGUUAAGAUACAAUGUGGAUCUACGGGAAUAAAAGUUGGAAAUUUUUGAUUGAAGUAGGACAUUUAGAACAAGCUAUGUUUGACAUGAUUGAUUUUGAUGUUCUCAAACUUUGGCGUCAUUCAUCCGUUAACGUUUACAAAAAUCUCUGCUUCUGAAACUACAGGGAUCAUUUGGAAUCAAACGUGGCCACAAUCAUCCAAGAGAAAGCAAAAGAUACAGCCAGGCAUGACAAAUAGAUAGAUUAUAAUGAAUUAAAACUGAUGGCUGGUGUAACUUUUCCUCAAAGAGCAAACGUGUUGAUAAUUGGUGAUUUCAAUGUUGGUAAAAGUACUUUAAUCAAUUAUCAACGGACAAAACGAUUUGAUGAUACAAUUGUUCCUACAAUAGAAAUUGAACCGAGUACAAUAAGUGUUACUGUAAAUGGUAAAGAUAUGAUUAUUACUGUGAAGGACUCUCCAGGUAUGAAAGAGGAUUCAAUAAAAUACGGGCGAUUUGUGUUUCCCGAAUUUCAGAACUGUGCAGUGAUCGUGUUCGUCUACGACAAGACACACAGACCCAGCUUUGAUCAGAUAACAUACUUAAAAAACAUGGUGGACGAAUUAGUUAAUCGUCGUAUGGAGUGUAUUCUUGUCGGAAAUAAAUGUGACAUAGCAAAGGACGACGAUGUUACAUUUGAGGAUGGCCACGAAAGAUGUGCUGAAUUAAAAAUGGAUUUGUUUAUUGAAAUAUCGGCAAAAAAAGGUACAAACGUGGAAGAACUCUUUCGGGAAGCAGCUUUGCGCUUGAAAGACAUGGAGCUUGAAUUUGGAUCCACAAAAGAACUACCUAAAAGUGAAAACACCCCAAAAAGCUGCCAAUGUUAAGGUAGCUUUGGUGUCCAAAUGUUGGAUGAUAGAUUUUUCUUUUACUUCUGUAAAGGAUUUCUUGGUCAAUGUAAUUUCAAUAAAAAUACUCGUUGAAAUUCACGAAAAAAUAGUUAUUUUGUAUGGAUUAUAGAUGGGAUAUAUUUUAAACCGAAACAGAAUUUUUGCAACAUGCCCAGAAAUAAUGCUCAGCAAAAUGUAUGCUAUCAAAAUACUAACCAAGUUAUUGCUGAAAAACAGGAUGUAAAUAGAGGCAACAGUAGGACCACAAUAAAAAAAACAAACAUGAUUUAGCUCAGGUGUACUGGAAGACUCUGCAGUUCAUGCUCCACUACUGACAUAUAUCAGUUAAUUCUUCAUUUUCGUAACUUAUGUGAAAAUAAUUAUAAUGUUUAUCAAAAUCAAAGUGUUUAUGAGUUCACAUCAGGUGAUUAUGUGUGUUUUUAAACAUAAAAUGUUAUUUGAUCAAAUGAAAACAUACUGCCAUAA